Molecule: ribosomal RNA, 406 nt
Filed under: uncultured bacterium
Lineage: Bacteria
Description: partial 16S ribosomal RNA
Rfam family: Bacterial small subunit ribosomal RNA
Source: RNAcentral
AUUGAACGCUGGCGGCAGGCCUAACACAUGCAAGUCGAACGAGUGGCGGACGGGUGAGUAAUGUCUGGGAAACUGCCUGAUGGAGGGGGAUAACUACUGGAAACGGUAGCUAAUACCGCAUACCCUCAGAUGUGCCCAGAUGGGAUUAGCUGGUUGGUGGGGUAACGGCUAACCAAGGCGACGAUCCCUCGCUGGUCUGAGAGGAUGACCAGCCACACUGGAACUGCGCCACGGGCCAGACUCCAACGGUAGGCAGCAGUGGGGAAUAGUGCACAAUGGGCGAAAGCCUGAUGCAGCCAUGCCGCGGGUAUGAAGAAGGCCUGCGGGUUGUAAAGUACUUUCAGCGGGGAGGCGUUACCCGCAGAAGAAGCACCGGCUAACUCCGUGCCAGCAGCCGCGGUAAUUC